This 27-nucleotide non-coding RNA is filed under the name Bombyx mori (domestic silkworm). Lineage: Eukaryota; Metazoa; Arthropoda; Insecta; Lepidoptera; Bombycidae. The record is from RNAcentral.
AAAUGAGCAACGAAACGCCGUCACCGU